RNAcentral lists this transfer RNA (86 nucleotides) under compost metagenome. RNAcentral's name for it is "tRNA-Ser". The record is from RNAcentral.
CCGUCGGUGGCGCGGGUGUCGGCGGUGCUGGCGUCGGCGGUGUCAGCGGCACGGGUACUGGCGGCGUUCCUGUCGGCGGUGGCGGC